ACGAACGCUGGCGGCGUGCUUAACACCUGCCAGUCGAACGGAAAGGCCCUGCUUUUGUGGGGUGCUCGAGUGGCGAACGGGUGAGUAACACGUGAGUAACCUGCCCUUGACUUUGGUAUAACUUCAUGAAACUGGGGCUAAUACCGGAUAGGAGCUCCUGCUGCAUGGUGGGGGUUGGAAAGUUUCGGCGGUUGGGGAUGGACUGGCGGCUUUUCAGCUUUUUGGUGGGGUUGUGGCUUACCAAGGCUUUGACGGGUAGCCGGCCUGAGAGGGUGACCGGCCAAAUUGGGACUGAGAUACGGCCCAGACUCCUACGGGAGGCAGCAGUGGGGAAUAUUGCACAAUGGGCGGAAGCCUGAUGCAGCAACGCCGCGUGCGGGAUGACGGCCUUCGGGUUGUAAACCGAUUUCGCAUGUGACGAAGCGUGAGUGACGGUAAUGGGUAAAGAAGCACCGGCUAACUACGUG
Molecule: ribosomal RNA, 467 nt
Filed under: uncultured bacterium
Lineage: Bacteria
Description: partial 16S ribosomal RNA
Rfam family: Bacterial small subunit ribosomal RNA
Source: RNAcentral